GCUCCAAUUUCUAUCCCCAUCUCCACCCCUCUCCCCCACGACUGCAUCCAGCGGCGAGAUUUGAGGAUCACGCCGUCGGCGCACCCUGCGGCACCAGCCGCGUAAUCCUUCUCCAACGACGGCUGCUCGUCCGCCCUCCCAUCAAGCCCCGCGCUCGCUGUCCACAAGGAACGGCCGCCACGCCUCGCCGGCCAAGAUCGGAUCCGCCAACCCGCGACAUCGAAGUCGCCAGUCUCUACAGGCAACAUCAUAGCCGCUUGCCUCAUCCUCACCAUCGCCCAACUCCAGCGCCUUCCCCAGCUUCCUUUCUCACCUCGUGCUUUACCAAGAUCUGGACGUUUCCUCACCACCCCUCCAUCAGCCACUACUUGAGAUUAGAUGCUGAUUUAGAUGUUUGGUUUCGUCCAGUGACCAACAAGAUGGCGGCGGCUGGAGACAACAGGUUUGGGAGAGGCAACCCGAUGAUGCAGUGCUGCUAGGGGAUGGGUGAGAAACUCUGCAAGGAACCCCGCUGCAAUACCAUUAGAUCUGGUCCCCUUCCAACUAUUCGAGGUUCAUCUAGAUAAGGAGUAAGAUCAAUGCCCUUUGCUCUUCUCAAAGAUUAAGGAAGCAUUGUACAACAGCAGUGCGAGUACACAAUUAGCUGUAGCUGCAGAAGAAGAUGUGCACUAGGAGGAUUUAGCCGCGAGACAUGAAGCAGAAGAUAGAGAAUUUGAAGAGAUGCAAAGAAGAGCCAACAGGAGAAGAAUAAGCCUGACAAAAGAAGCAACAUGAGAUGGAUAACCUGAUUGGUUUUCUUUUAAGGGCUGAAGCAACUCAACAAGCAAAUCAGUCCAACCAGAUGGUGCAUGAAGGCCAUCAUUUUGUUAAAGAAAGAUAGUUAUUUAAUCAUACAUUGCAAUCAUUAGGACAACAUAAGUGGUCUUUUAGUUAUCUAAAUAUUACUUUUCGUCUUAUUUAUUCUUGUGUCAAACUUGAGUCUAUGAUACUUUUUAUUGCCAUUUCUAUUUAGAAGAUGAUUUGGCUGACAGAUGGAAUAAAUAAUACUA
Triticum aestivum (bread wheat) is the source of this 1049-nucleotide long non-coding RNA. RefSeq lists it as uncharacterized. The record is from RefSeq and is a predicted model, not a curated record. NCBI's taxonomy places the organism in Eukaryota, Viridiplantae, Streptophyta, Magnoliopsida, Poales, Poaceae. The transcript has 4 exons.